CCUGAUGCAUGGCUAGUCCAGCUUUCUCUGGAAAUGUUCCAGCCCAGUGCACACAUCUUCACAAUGAAUCUAAUUACUGCAAAAUAAAAGCCAAGAUCUCGCAGCGGACAGUAGAAUAUGGCAGUUUAAACUUCAGAUCAUUGUGUCAACCGUCUCGUGCAAACCACAAAACCAGGCAGUUUAAUCAAGAUCCACCUAAGAAUGAAAAAUACUAUAAGAUACAAUUUCACAUUACAUCUAGAAAAGGAUAGCUAUAUUUAACUUGAUCUAGUAGAAGAUGUACAACUAUCAUACCCAUAUAAUGUAGAUUAACAAACUGAUUCAAGAUAAAUACUAUUAAGCCAAUCCUACACCCAUACUACUUGUAUACAUAAAAUUGGGUGGAUCUAGAAUUUUAGAUCUAGAUAGACUAGAUUCUUAUUAAAAUUCUAGAUCUUUUCUAUUAAGUAAUAAAAAUCUUUAAAAUGUAUUUUAAUAUGGAUGAAGUUUAACAGAAAUGAUUGGAAAAUAGUCGAUGCCAACGCAGAGGCUCUUGUUCUCGUAUGAGCCAUAGUUGUCUAUUGACUGAAGGUGGUGGAGAUAAUUCAACAAGAUGAUUUACAAUGUAAUUCAAGAGAUCUGUCUAGUCUGUUGGACUGUUAAGGCACCACACAAGGUUUGUCGACCAUUCUUUUCCUCACCGUCUUUUGAAUGACUAAUUCCUGAGAA
Molecule: long non-coding RNA, 708 nt
Organism: Biomphalaria glabrata
Lineage: Eukaryota; Metazoa; Mollusca; Gastropoda; Planorbidae
Exons: 3
Source: RefSeq, a predicted model, not a curated record